GAGGAAGCAUAGAAAACAAUAAGCACUGCUAAUCCUUAUUUCCAAGGUUAAAAUCCUUGGCUCCCUUG
Molecule: transfer RNA, 68 nt
Filed under: Garra orientalis
Lineage: Eukaryota; Metazoa; Chordata; Actinopteri; Cypriniformes; Cyprinidae
Description: tRNA-Ser
Source: RNAcentral